RNAcentral lists this long non-coding RNA (631 nucleotides) under Mytilus galloprovincialis (Mediterranean mussel). Lineage: Eukaryota; Metazoa; Mollusca; Bivalvia; Mytilida; Mytilidae. The record is from RNAcentral.
CAAAAACCAAAGCAUUUUGAGAGAAUCUGACAAGGUAAAAUUGUUUAUCAGGUCAAGAUCUAUCUGCCCUGAAAUUUUCAGAUGAAUCAGACAAUCCGUUGUUGGGUUGCUGCCCCUGAAUAUGUAAUUUUAAGGAAAUUUUGCUGUUUUUGGUUAUUAUCUUGAAUAUUAUUAUAGAUAGAGAUAAACUGUAAACAGCAAUAAUGUACAGCAAAGUAAGACCUAAAAAGAAGUCAACAUGACCAAAAUGGUCAAUUGACCCCUAAGGAGUUAUUGCCCUUUAUAUAGUCAUUUUUUUUUAAAAUUUUCACAAAAUUUGUAAAAUUUUACUAACAUUUUCCACUGUAACUACUGGGUCAAGUUCAUUAUAGAUAGAGAUAAUUGUAAGCAGCAAGAAUGUUCAGUAAAGUAAGAUCUACAAACACAUCACCAUCACCAAAACCACAAUUUUGUCUUGAAUCCAUCUGUGUCUUUUGUUUAGUAUUCACAUAGACCAAGGUGAGCGACACAGGCUCUUUAGAGCCUCUAGUUCAAUAUUGAUGCAUAAAUGGCAUCCUGACUUUCUAUCUGACAGGUUUUCAUGUGUCAAUAUUUGUGUUUCUAUGCCUUUAUCUAGUUCUUUUACUUAUUU